This 761-nucleotide ribosomal RNA is filed under the name uncultured bacterium. RNAcentral describes it as "bacterial SSU rRNA". It matches the Rfam family "Bacterial small subunit ribosomal RNA", at positions 28 to 776 of the family's 1533-position model. The record is from RNAcentral.
AUUGAACGCUGGCGGCAGGCUUAACACAUGCAAGUCGAACGGUAACAUAAGAAAAGCUUGCUUUUUUUGAUGACGAGUGGCGGACGGGUGAGUAAUGCUUGGGAAUCUGCCUUAUGGAGGGGGAUAACUACGGGAAACUGUAGCUAAUACCGCAUAAUAUCUACGGAUUAAAGUGUGGGAUCUUCGGACCACAUACCAUAAGAUGAGCCCAAGUGAGAUUAGGUAGUUGGUGAGGUAAAGGCUCACCAAGCUGACGAUCUCUAGCUGGUUUGAGAGGAUGACCAGCCACACUGGGACUGAGACACGGCCCAGACUCCUACGGGAGGCAGCAGUGGGGAAUAUUGCACAAUGGGCGCAAGCCUGAUGCAGCCAUGCCGCGUGAAUGAAGAAGGCUUUCGGGUUGUAAAGUUCUUUCAUUAGUGAGAAAGGUAUAAAUGUUAAUAGCAUUUGUAAUUGAUGUUAGCUAAAGAAGAAGCACCGGCUAACUCCGUGCCAGCAGCCGCGGUAAUACGGAGGGUGCGAGCGUUAAUCGGAAUAACUGGGCGUAAAGGGCAUGCAGGCGGUUACUUAAGUCAGAUGUGAAAGCCCCGAGCUUAACUUGGGAAUUGCAUUUGAAACUGGGUGACUAGAGUCCUCUAGGGAGGGGUAGAAUUCCACGUGUAGCGGUGAAAUGCGUAGAGAUGUGGAGGAAUACCGAAGGCGAAGGCAGCCCCUUGGAGAGAGACUGACGCUCAUAUGCGAAAGCGUGGGUAGCAAACAGG